GACGAACGCUGGCGGCGUGCUUAACACAUGCAAGUCGAACGGAAAGGCCCUGCUUUUGUGGGGUGCUCGAGUGGCGAACGGGUGAGUAACACGUGAGUAACCUGCCCUUGACUUUGGGAUAACUUCAGGAAACUGGGGCUAAUACCGGAUAGGAGCUCCUGCUGCAUGGUGGGGGUUGGAAAGUUUCGGCGGUUGGGGAUGGACUCGCGGCGUAUCAGCUUGUUGGUGGGGUAGUGGCUUACCAAGGCUUUGACGGGUAGCCGGCCUGAGAGGGUGACCGGCUACAUUGGGAGUGAGAUACGCCCCAGACUUCUACGGGAGACAGCAGUGGCGAAUAUUGCACAAUGGGCGGAAGCCUGAUGCAGAAACGCCGCGUGCGGGAUGACGGCAUUCGGGUUGUAAACCGAUUUCGCCUGUGACGAAGCGUGAGUGACGGUAAUGGGUAAAGAAGCACCGGCUAACUACGUG
This 468-nucleotide ribosomal RNA is filed under the name uncultured bacterium. RNAcentral describes it as "partial 16S ribosomal RNA". It matches the Rfam family "Bacterial small subunit ribosomal RNA", at positions 28 to 507 of the family's 1533-position model. The record is from RNAcentral.